UUGGUGAGGUAAUGGCUCACCAAGGCGACGACGGGCAGCCGGCCUGAGAGGGCGACCGGCCACACUGGGACUGAGACACGGCCCAGACUCCUACGGGAGGCAGCAGUGGGGAAUAUUGCACAAUGGGCGAAAGCCUGAUGCAGCGACGCCGCGUGAGGGAUGACGGCCUUCGGGUUGUAAACCUCUUUCAGCAGGGAAGAAGCGAAAGUGACGGUACCUGCAGAAGAAGCGCCGGCUAACUACGUGCCAGCAGCCGCGGUAAUACGUAGGGCGCAAGCGUUGUCCGGAAUUAUUGGGCGUAAAGAGCUCGUAGGCGGCUUGUCACGUCGGGUGUGAAAGCCCGGGGCUUAACCCCGGGUCUGCAUUCGAUACGGGCUAGCUAGAGUGUGGUAGGGGAGAUCGGAAUUCCUGGUGUAGCGGUGAAAUGCGCAGAUAUCAGGAGGAACACCGGUGGCGAAGGCGGAUCUCUGGGCCAUUACUGACGCUGAGGAGCGAAAGCGUGGGGAGCGAACAGGAUUAGAUACCCUGGUAGUCCACGCCGUAAACGGUGGGAACUAGGUGUUGGCGACAUUCCACGUCGUCGGCGCCGCAGCUAACGCAUUAAGUUCCCCGCCUGGGGAGUACGG
Molecule: ribosomal RNA, 626 nt
Filed under: uncultured bacterium
Lineage: Bacteria
Description: bacterial SSU rRNA
Rfam family: Bacterial small subunit ribosomal RNA
Source: RNAcentral